UACGUAGGGUGCGAGCGUUGUCCGGAAUUACUGGGCGUAAAGAGCUCGUAGGUGGUUUGUCGCGUUGUUCGUGAAAACCUGAGGCUUAACCUUGGGCGUGCGGGCGAUACGGGCAGACUGGAGUACUGCAGGGGAGACUGGAAUUCCUGGUGUAGCGGUGGAAUGCGCAGAUAUCAGGAGGAACACCGGUGGCGAAGGCGGAUCUCUGGGCCAUUACUGACGCUGAGGAGCGAAAGCGUGGGGAGCGAACAGG
Molecule: ribosomal RNA, 253 nt
Filed under: uncultured bacterium
Lineage: Bacteria
Description: partial 16S ribosomal RNA
Rfam family: Bacterial small subunit ribosomal RNA
Source: RNAcentral